CUACGUGCCAGCAGCCGCGGUAAUACGGAAGGUCCAGGCGUUAUCCGGAUUUAUUGGGUUUAAAGGGAGUGUAGGCGGUUUGUUAAGCGUGUUGUGAAAUUUAGGUGCUCAACAUUUAACUUGCAGCGCGAACUGUCAGACUUGAGUACACGCAACGUAUGCGGAAUUCAUGGUGUAGCGGUGAAAUGCUUAGAUAUCAUGAAGAACUCCGAUUGCGAAGGCAGCAUACGGGAGUGUAACUGACGCUUAAGCUCGAAGGUGCGGGUAUCGAACAGGAUUAGAUACCCUGGUAGUCCGCMCAGUAAACGAUGGAUGCCCGCUGUUAGCGCCUGGCGUUAGCGGCUAAGCGAAAGCAUUAAGCAUCCCACCUGGGGAGUACGCCGGCAACGGUGAAACUCAAAGGAAUUGACGGGGGCCCGCACAAGCGGAGGAACAUGUGGUUUAAUUCGAUGAUACGCGAGGAACCUUACCCGGGCUUGAAUUGCAGAGGAAUUAUUUAGAGAUA
This 505-nucleotide ribosomal RNA is filed under the name uncultured bacterium. RNAcentral describes it as "bacterial SSU rRNA". It matches the Rfam family "Bacterial small subunit ribosomal RNA", at positions 501 to 1008 of the family's 1533-position model. The record is from RNAcentral.